RNAcentral lists this long non-coding RNA (1650 nucleotides) under Nicotiana tabacum (common tobacco). Its description in RNAcentral is "long non-coding RNA (NTAB_LNC007965)". Lineage: Eukaryota; Viridiplantae; Streptophyta; Magnoliopsida; Solanales; Solanaceae. The record is from RNAcentral.
UUGAUUUGUGUUACCAGUUAUCACCAAUUAGAACCAAGCUAAAAGUUAAAAAUUGUAAGACGCCAUAAUUGAAAUAAUUGCUAGCUAUUAAUAGCAUUACGAUCUAAUAAACAAAGAAUUGCAUAAGUGGGAGCAUACAAUAUGUCCUUGUAAAAUUUCAGUCGAUUAAAAAAUGAAGAAUUUCCCCGUUGGUCCUUGAAAUAAUGAAUUGAUUGGCAUCUCUUAACCUGCAAAGUUCAGGUGAAAUGAAAAGGAAUUAGAGGCUUCAAUGCAUUAAACUUAUCACAAUCAUAUUCAUAAAAAAUAUGCACGAAAAGUAUAAUUUGCAGUGGCUUUCUCAGUGAUAUAGAAGCAUGCAUGUUUCUUUGAAACCAAAUUAAUUAUGCUUUAAAAGAUCGAAUCAUUCUGUUUCACUUGCCUAAAUUGAUCAGUGAUAUUCUCUGUAGUGUGAAGGCUAAUGCAUUGAUCAGGGUAAACGUUAGAAAGCAAUUCAGCUCAUCCACGGCCAUUAAGGCCAAAGUUAUCAUUAUAUAUCUGAUACCGAACUGCCAAGUUCAGUUCAUUUACGAUAUUAUUUUAUUAAAUAAUCUGGUUAGUUCGAAAAAUAAUCUGGUUAAUUCGUCUAUCAAAUUCAACUUCUUAAUAAUUCAAAUCUAGUUUCCCUUUAUCAUAUUGUGCAAAAGAUGAUUAGGUAGAGAAAUAAGUGAACACAACUAUUGAAAGCAAAAGGAAGCAUUAUAUGCAUUGCUGCUGGAACAUACCCGUAUUGGUGAUAAUUAACUGAAGAACAUAUUCUAGAAGACGAUCUAGAAUCUCCAUUUCCUAUGAUGCCACAUUUGAAGCUUUUUUAAGUAGAGGAUGCAUUCACGGGAUUAAGAUUGAGUAUCGCACAAAGAACAAUUAUGAAGUGAAGGAAGAAGAGCUCAAUGAAGGCAAAGAGAAAGAACCUUUUAAGGUUGUUGAAGACAACAUUCUGGCCAAUCUUGCAGUCUAUGCCAAAAUAAUUGUUAAACCUGUCAAGAAUUCCAACAAAAGUUGAAGUUUGGUUUGAAAUGUUUAAAUUCAUUUGUAUAGUGUACUACUGUGUGCGAGCUCUUUCCAAGCUAUCAUUGAAAGAAUCUCAAUAAAGAACUUCAAUAAAGAGAUAACAAGAUUCGCUUAUCAAAUACCUAUGCCAAAACUAAUGAAAAUGUUACUCAAGACAUGGAUGAUGUGUGAGGCAUAAUUACCGAGAAUUUUAUGACGCUCAAAUGUCAAUGAAAAAGCUAUUAAAUGAUAAAAGUAAUUAACUAAACAAGAGAAAUGCAUCAUCCCCUGACUUAACAAUUUUAGGGAAACUCUAAAUUUUCAUGGAGGCAUCUAGAAAAACUUUGUUCUUCAAUGAGAAAGAAGCACGUUUCAUUUGCCAAUUUUGAUUUAUAAUUUAUUUUUCUUGGCUAGGCUACACAUCAUUUCCAUCUUUAUUAUGAUUUUCUCGGUUUACAGCAUAUGCACAUAUAUAAAAAGAUUGUUUACAUGUCGACAAUAACAUAUAUAGUCUGAUGGUAUCAAAGGUCAAAGAUGUCAAAUAGAUCACCACUACCAAAAAUCACGAGGCUGAAAGAGUAGUUCAUGAGUAAAAAUGGCCCAUUCCAUUGCUAAGAUUUNNNN